RNAcentral lists this unclassified non-coding RNA (603 nucleotides) under Hevea brasiliensis (rubber tree). Lineage: Eukaryota; Viridiplantae; Streptophyta; Magnoliopsida; Malpighiales; Euphorbiaceae. The record is from RNAcentral.
AAAAAAAAAAGAAAAAAAAAAUUCAAACCAAACUUAACAGUGUAAUGGAUCAAAAUCGCAAAUUCACCAUAGAUAUAACAAGAAAAGCAUUCUAUGAUUCUAAUAUUAUCUCUACACAAAAUAACAAUAGAAGAAAAGGCAAGGGAAAAAGAAGUAAAGAUAUAGACCACCAUAUAACAAGUUUUGAAAUUUUAUAGCCUUAGCACUUGUGACUACAGAGAUCCCAUUACAAAAUGGAGUCUAACAGUUCUUCAAAAUUUAGUUGCCUAAUGCCAUUUUAUCACUUCUAUGAACAACCCAUGUAAAACCUUCAUAAUCUUAACAUCCGCUCAAUGCGCCAGGCCUUAUUAGUAUGUGGGGUCCAAAAUAGAAAAGCUUAACUCCAAAACCACAACUUACUUAUCUUGAAAUUAAGAUGCCAAGACUUGAACUGAGGACCAUUUAAGCAAUCAGAAGAAAGGACAAAUAAUGUAUCAAGCCUUCAUGCUCUUAACAAUUUUCACAAAUAUCAUUUCAAACAGUGAUUAUGCAAUUGAAUAAAUCAAAGAAAGACCAUAUGCAGUAUGCCAAAAAUAUUUGGAGUUUCGACAGUAAAACAAAUAC